Long non-coding RNA from Eleginops maclovinus (Patagonian blennie), 758 nucleotides. RefSeq lists it as uncharacterized. The transcript has 3 exons. NCBI's taxonomy places the organism in Eukaryota, Metazoa, Chordata, Actinopteri, Perciformes, Eleginopidae. The record is from RefSeq and is a predicted model, not a curated record.
CACAAAUACACGUAUUAAGACUUAUUGUGGAGCUUCAGGACAGAAGAAAGUCAGAGGUCAUCCAUCAUGGCCAGCAGGUCGUCUCCUUUACUGCUGCUCAGAUUUAAAGGCGGAUCUUCUUCUUCCGCAAACUGUCCGGCGAUCCGAGCCAGUUCAGUCGUUACCUGUUCAUCCUGAUUCAAACAAAUACACAAACAGAUAAACUGUCGCAUUAAGAUGCAACAGGUGGUGAGGAAGAGGAUCAGCAGAGGCCGGACACAAGCUUAUUGGCCAGGAAAAGGGUGACGUGGCAGCACAGCAAAACCAACUAAAGAAGGCAAAUGACUGGGUAUAUGUUACACUUUUGUAUAGGACGACAUUGUGCUGUAGGAGUGUUGAUGGUAUAAUGCAAACAUAAAAGUAAAAUUGUAUGUUAUUACACUUCAUGGCCAAAUGAAUGCAGUAAAAUGAACAGUACAAGUACACAGUAUGUGGUUAGCAUUUAAAGGAAUAGUUUGACAUUUUUGACAGCUUAGCUUGGCAUAGACUCAAGUAUUUUGUGCUGCAUGGCAACCUCAAGGGAUGACAAGGUUUCAGGAAUUAACUGCGCCCAGUCAGAGGAAAGUCCCUUUUCUUACCUUUGUAAAAGUCCAGGCUACAGUUUUCCCUAUUCUCAUUAAGAAAGUGAAUAUGUGCUUUUCUGAUACAAUUGCGUAAAGAUUUGUUCAAACUAACUGUAAAUAAACAGCCCCUUACAAAAACUAUCCAAAUGUAUGUCA